CCUACGGGAGGCAGCAGUGGGGAAUAUUGCACAAUGGGGGAAACCCUGAUGCAGCGCCGCCGCGUGAGUGAAGAAGUAAUUCGUUAUGUAAAGCUCUAUCAGCAGGGAAGAAAAUUACGGUACCUGCGUAAGAAGCCCCGGCUAACUACGUGCCAGCAGCCGCGGUAAUACGUAGGGGGCAAGCGUUCUCCGGAUUUACUGGGUGGAAAGGGAGCGUGGACGGCAGUGCAAGUCUGGAGUGAAAGGCGGGGGCUCAACCCCCGGACUGCUCUGGAAACUGUACGGCUGGAGUGCAGGAGAGGUAAGUGGAAUUCCUAGUGUAGCGGUGAAAUGCGUAGAUAUACGGAGGAACACCAGUGGCGAAGGCGGAUUGCUGGACAGUAACUGACGCUGAGGCGCGAAAGCGUGGGGAGCAAACAGGAUUAGAUACCCCAGUAGUC
RNAcentral lists this ribosomal RNA (440 nucleotides) under uncultured bacterium. RNAcentral's name for it is "partial 16S ribosomal RNA". It matches the Rfam family "Bacterial small subunit ribosomal RNA", at positions 338 to 795 of the family's 1533-position model. The record is from RNAcentral.